AACGCAUAUUGCGCCCUUUGGUAUUCCGAAGGGCAUGCCUGUUCGAGCGUCAUUAAUACCUCAAGCCCCGCUUGGUGUUGACAGCGCAGUGCGCUGCCGAAACGCAGCGGCGACGUAGCCGGCCCCUGGCGCAGUGCCUUGCUCGCCCGGUGUCGGUCGUGCGUUUGCCGGACAACGCCCCUAUUCUCAUUGACCUCGGAUCAGGUAGGACUACCCGCUGAACUUAA
RNAcentral lists this unclassified non-coding RNA (227 nucleotides) under uncultured fungus. Its description in RNAcentral is "partial contains 5.8S ribosomal RNA, internal transcribed spacer 2, and large subunit ribosomal RNA". The stretch from base 1 to 52 matches the Rfam family "5.8S ribosomal RNA", at positions 103 to 154 of the family's 154-position model. The record is from RNAcentral. Lineage: Eukaryota; Fungi.